Long non-coding RNA from Arachis duranensis, 787 nucleotides. RefSeq lists it as uncharacterized. The record is from RefSeq and is a predicted model, not a curated record. Lineage: Eukaryota; Viridiplantae; Streptophyta; Magnoliopsida; Fabales; Fabaceae. The transcript is spliced from 4 exons.
UUCAGCGUAAGAAAAGAGCUGUUCUUCAGGAUGUUACUAAUGUUUUCUGUGAGAAUACAUACAGGAGCUGUUUCAAUUCAACUAAAGUUCGGGUUCUUAACAAAAGUAUUUUCUAUUUGGUUGAUUGGUACUGCAUCCAUGGAAAGUUUCUCAGUAUCAUUGUCCUUGCUGAAGAGUGAUGUUUGUGACUAGUGCAAAGCAAGCUGGCCAAGGCUAGUAGAAUCGAUGUAUCCAAAGUGGCGCCUUCUGCUGCUGCCCAACAACAUGUUCAAGUUCACUGAAAAAUAUAGUUUUUUGGAGCCAGGUCUUAAAUUAGAACAUGCAUCUUUUUUAAUUAAUACUAAGUGUGAAAGAGAGUGGCAAGGAUGAUAAAACUCAUGCAUCAGGAAUCUCUCCUCUGCCUUUGAUUUCUCAGAAGAAAGCUAAGAAGUGUAGCCCUUUUCCAAUUGCAUUAAGGGAUCCAAAGAUCGGUAACAUAGAUAUGAUAACGAAGAUCCUCAGUUGUGCAGCUUAUAUGCUGCUAAUAUCUAUAACACCUUGCGAAUUUAUAAGAAGGCCAAAUCCUAACUUUAUGGACACAAAGCAGCACGACAUUACUCAAAGCAUACGCGGGAUACUGGUUGAUUGGCUUGUAGAGGUUUCUGAGGAAUACAGAUUGGAACUAGACACUCCUUAUCUCACUUUGUAUCUCAUAGAUUGAUUUCUCUCCUGAAAUUACAUUGAAAGACAUCAGCUACUUGGGAUCCCGAGCAUGUUAAUUGCCUCGAGAGUUCUCAAAUUCAAUGAA